Molecule: long non-coding RNA, 837 nt
Filed under: Fragaria vesca (wild strawberry)
Lineage: Eukaryota; Viridiplantae; Streptophyta; Magnoliopsida; Rosales; Rosaceae
Description: long non-coding RNA (FVES_LNC004002)
Source: RNAcentral
UUUUUGUGACUUUUGUAUUUCUAUUUUACAUAUACUAUUUUUUUUGUAAGUUUACAUUUUUUGUUUUUAUAGUCAUGAUGAUAAAUUAUUUUAAUAAUUGAUAGGUCAUAAUUUUUGUAAAAAUAUUUUUUCACUUUGUAUAAGCAUGUGACAUGUAUGAUAAUAUAAAUAUAUAAAUGCUUUAAUAAGUAUGUGGUAAACUAGAAAAUAAAAAUCAAUAAGAAAAAUAAUAAAAUGCAAUCUAUUAUUAUUGAAUUAGAAAGUUUAGAGAGAAUAAAUAUAACAUUACUUUUUGUUUAAUUAGUGUCCUUAAUAAUCAUUUUGUAAGAGGAUAAAUAUGUCAUUUAAUAAUUCAUAAUACAGUGAGGUCAAGUGAGCAAACUUAGAAGUCUCAAUAGCCGCACUCGUACGUUUAACCUCUAGUCAAAUUUCACUAGUAAAUGAUGUCAUCAGUUAGCCGAAAAAAGGCAUGCCUUAAACGUGUCCUCCAUGUGCACCUGCCCUGGUUGGAAAUGCACACGUCUCGAAACAAAUAAUCGUCAAACUCAAACAAGACAGGCCAGCCAAACCCAAGCCCUACUCUCAAAGGAUAUCCGCUCUUGAAUGCCAGAAAGUUAUUUAGGAAGCAUUUUGGUGUGAAAGCCAAUGGUAUGGUGAAGGCUUUUCCCUUUUUACCCUUAAUGAUAACAAAGUCCAAUAUCCGAGCGAGUUACCCUAGUAUACAAGUCUCCAUGAUGCUAAAAGGUAGGAGGUAAAAUUGAAGUGUGUUUCUACUUUCUACGGUGCAGGUGAACUCGUGGAAAUGCAUGACCAGAAGACUUUGGAGGGCUAUGAAUU